This 102-nucleotide non-coding RNA is filed under the name Pontibacillus chungwhensis. Its description in RNAcentral is "Guanine sequence". It matches the Rfam family "Purine riboswitch aptamer". Rfam says of the family: Riboswitches are metabolite binding domains within certain messenger RNAs that serve as precision sensors for their corresponding targets. Allosteric rearrangement of mRNA structure is mediated by ligand binding, and this results in modulation of gene expression. RNAcentral also lists the same sequence under 1 other name. Lineage: Bacteria; Bacillati; Bacillota; Bacilli; Caryophanales; Bacillaceae. The record is from RNAcentral.
CUACACUUCACUUCAUUUCCUUGUAUAAGUUCGAGAAUAGGGCUCGAACGUAUCUACUAAGCUACCGUAAAUAGCUAGGCUACAAGGGAUUUCGUUUAUCUA